This 64-nucleotide transfer RNA is filed under the name Batracobdella cancricola. RNAcentral's name for it is "tRNA-Asp". The record is from RNAcentral. Lineage: Eukaryota; Metazoa; Annelida; Clitellata; Rhynchobdellida; Glossiphoniidae.
GAGACUUUAGUUAAGUACAAUAACCGUAGACUGUCAGCCUACAAUCACAUCCUUGUAAGUCUUA